GAACGCUGGCGGCAGGCUUANCACANGCAAGUCGANCGNGAAGCUAGAGCUUGCUNUAGUGGAAAGUGGCAGACGGGUGAGUAACGCGUGGGAAUCUACCUANUGGUACGGGAUAACGUUUGGAAACGAACGCUAAUACCGUAUACGCCCUUCGGGGGAAAGAUUUAUCGCCAUUAGAUGAGCCCGCGUUAGAUUAGCUNGUUGGUGAGGUAAAAGCUCACCAAGGCUCCGAUCUAUAGCUGGUCUGAGAGGAUGAUCAGCCACACUGGGACUGAGACACGGCCCAGACUCCUACGGGAGGCAGCAGUGGGGAAUAUUGCACAAUGGGCGCAAGCCUGAUGCAGCCAUGCCGCGUGAGUGAAGAAGGCCUUAGGGUUGUAAAACUCUUU
Molecule: ribosomal RNA, 389 nt
Filed under: uncultured Hyphomicrobiales bacterium
Lineage: Bacteria; Pseudomonadati; Pseudomonadota; Alphaproteobacteria; Hyphomicrobiales
Description: bacterial SSU rRNA
Rfam family: Bacterial small subunit ribosomal RNA
Source: RNAcentral